UAUUUUUCAGCGAUUAAAAAACGAAAGCUGCGUUCGUUCGAUAAAGACUAUUUUGAUGCAAAAGCCGAUUCUAAGAUUACUUAUGAUUAAGUGCAGUUUACAUUUAAACACAGUUAGCGUCUAAACGCAGUUUGCGUCUAAAUGCAGAUUGCGUCUAAACUCAGAUUGCGUCUUGUAACACCCCUCAUUUCCGAAUGUUCGUAUGAAUUUUUGGUGAUAAUGUAAGCAUCUAUUUUAAUUAACAAAAGAAAUAGAGUAUGAAUUAGAGGUAACCUAUUUGUAAGAUUUGGGAGAUCUGUUCAAAAAAAAAAAAAAAAAAAGAAGAAAGAAUCUGAGGACCUAUAUGUAAACCCUAAGGACCUAAUCGUGAAUAUGAUAAAAACAAGGACUAAACUGCAAAAUGCACCAAAUGACAAAUUCCACCGCUUAAGCCUCUCUGCCUUCGUUGUUAAGGAAGCAGAGGAGGCAGCUCGUGGGUGAUCAGGGAAAGAAAAGAAGAAGAUGAAGAAGAAGAAGAAGAAGGAGAAGAGAAAGAAAAUUUGGGGCUUUUAGGGUUUUUGAUUUAAUCUUGUUACUUCGGGUCAAAAUUUGCAAAGGAUAGCGUAUCUCUUGCUUAAAUGUUAAGAAUGGGCUGAGGCAGUGGAAAGUUUAGAAGACGUUGGGCAGAACUUUUGUUAGCAUAUAUGUAGUUGUGUAUAAGCUACCUUGCAUCUAAUGAAAUGUGACUAUGAAUCUAAACCUGUGGAUUUUGUGUAAGUUAAAGGAUCCCUCAUGUAUAGGGUUUUGGAAUGUUAAAUUAAAUUUGUGUAAUGAUAUGAACUUAUGGUAAAUCGAUGAUUGUGGUGACUGCAUA
Long non-coding RNA from Musa acuminata AAA Group (dessert banana), 853 nucleotides. RefSeq lists it as uncharacterized. The record is from RefSeq and is a predicted model, not a curated record. The transcript is spliced from 2 exons. NCBI's taxonomy places the organism in Eukaryota, Viridiplantae, Streptophyta, Magnoliopsida, Zingiberales, Musaceae.